Molecule: non-coding RNA, 928 nt
Organism: Zootoca vivipara (common lizard)
Lineage: Eukaryota; Metazoa; Chordata; Lepidosauria; Squamata; Lacertidae
Source: RefSeq, a predicted model, not a curated record
UGUGGGGAAGGGAGGGCGGAAAUUGCGAAUUAGGGGGAGCCAUCUCUCCCAGGCCACCCAGGGCUGAUCCAGACGCAGGAGUUCGGAACCACACCGAGGAGACCCAAACCGACGGGCUGGAGAAAAGUUUGUCCUUGUUUGUCUGUCCAUCAUUCUGCCACCAGGGUUAACUCAGCCACUGCGGCCCAAGAGAAGCCCUUGGACCAACCAACCUGCUCCUGGGAGGUCAGUUGUCCUUAGGGAAGCAAGAGCGAAAGAAAGGCAUGGAAAAAGGAAAGAGCCUCACCAAAAUCAACGACUGCAACAUUUAAUACCCACAGCCCAGAUGCAACAGUGACUGCUGCCUAAGCCCAGAGCUCUGAAUAAACCACCCAACAGCAAAGCCUGUAUGACCUACAGUACUAACAUUCACAGAGAACUCUCCCCCCAUAAACACGAGGGGUACGUAAGGUGAAAGCAAGGCACAACAGCAAGAGACCUGCAACACCCCACCCCCACUGCCAAAAGCCACCACACACAACCUGAAAGAGGGGUCGACGGGAAAGCCAAAUUGGCCACAACCAAGGGCAAUACCAAAACCACAGAGACUGCCAUGGGCCCAGAAAACAGUAACACAAUACAACCACAACAGGACCCAGAAGACGUUGACCAGGAAGUUAAAGAAACCACUAAAGCAAUGGCUAAACUGAUGAAACAAUUAGAAGAGAUGGUGGCCAAGGUCAGUACUCUCAGAGGCAGCGUUACCGCCUUGGAGAGGAAGAACCAGAUACAAGGAAAGCAUUUAAAACAACUACAUAAAGAAAACAGGGAGCUGAAAAGCAAGCUAGCGGACCUCGAGAAACGCUUAUCUUAACAGUGGUUUCAAACUCUUCCAAUGCAGCUUUGUGUUAGUGUGCUGUUUACAAUAGAAUAAAAUUUGCUGUUUGUC